RNAcentral lists this long non-coding RNA (1698 nucleotides) under Diabrotica virgifera virgifera (western corn rootworm). RNAcentral's name for it is "uncharacterized LOC126888774". The record is from RNAcentral. Lineage: Eukaryota; Metazoa; Arthropoda; Insecta; Coleoptera; Chrysomelidae.
ACUGCGAAAGGUCCAAAGAAGCUCCCCCCUCCAGUGCCCAAUAACAGUGUCUCCGUUUUUCCUAUCUAACUUUCAAUACUAUCCUGCUUUGUACUGUGUUCGGAAUGGGGGAGAGAUUAAAUAUCCAGCACGCAACCGCGCUGUUGCCAGAUUUACAUAUUUUCUAUUAGCGGGAAUUUUAAAAUCUCGAAUGCGAGUUGGUUUAAAAUUUGACAGUUGUGUUUUCUCGAAUCGGAAUCUUAACCUUACUUUUGUGAUUAUUUAUUUACAAAUAUGUAAAUAAAUUCAAACAAGUAUUGUAUGUACCUACUGUGUUAUAAUUUAAAACUCUUAAUUAUGUUAGUCUUUAAAAAAAAAUGAAGCCCACAAAAAUACACUUGUUUACAGUGCAAAUGAUUUUUUAAUGGAAAUAGGGAUUUAGGAUUUCAUUUGCAGGAAAAACAUGGGCAACCUACCCAGUUCGUAAAAUUGCAAUUCAAAAACUCUUUAGAUUUUACUGUCUGGAUGGCACAGGAAGAGACACAAAAUAAUAUUCAGUACUGCAGUCACAGGAGUACAUAGAGUACGUAAAGAUAUAAGAAAACAGCUGUUCAACAUCACCUGACACCGUUUAGUUUUUAGAAAAUGAAAAGUCUUUAGGUUGAAUGCGAUCUGCAGUAUCUUGCAUUGCUACAUAAUGAAUGUGUUUAUAUAUGGUAUUUUUUAUUGAAUAAUCUAUACAGGAACAACUAAAUGAAUGUAUACAUAUAUUGCAGACAUUGCAUUUAGUUUUUAGAGCAGCAAGUUUUUUUGUGUUUCAACAAGGUAUUCAGUUUUUUUUUUCUUUUAGUAUAUACACAUUAUUAUCUUGUAAAAUAGCAAGCUAAUACAGUUCGGUAUCUAGACGUUAUGGAGCAUUCAACAGGUUUACCUUUUUUAAGCUUUAUAACCCUUUCAACAGUUUUAUUCCUUAAAAACAAUAACAACUGAUUUUCAAUGGUCAUAUUAUUGGUAUUUUAAUUCCAUAAUCCUUCCUAUAACAAUAGGUGCAUUGUUGGAAGUUAUUACAGUAGUUCUGCUGGAAAUACUUACCAAAAUUGUAUGUAUCUGCAUCAUUUAGAAUUUUACCCAAACACCUAUUAAUACUCUAUCUGAAUCUAACAUGUAUUGCAGCUCUUUCAAUGUCUUGUAUACAUAGGAUUUUUUCAGAAUCAGAUAUUUCAUUAAGAUUUACUUGCCAUGCCUUGUCUAUGUACCAGGGACAUAACAGUCUAUUAGGAACAGAACCCAUUACAUUCAGGCAUUGUAAAAAGUGUUAGUUAUGUCUGAUAUGAAAACAUUUGACUAUAUAAUACCAGCACACUCAUGUAUUUUUUCAAAAAAAGUUGGUAAAUAAAAGUAUUUUUUAUGAGCCCAUGAGUUCCAUUAGUUGCGAUAAGCGAUUUACCAAACUUAAUUAAUAUUUCCUUUUGCACAGUAUUCAUGGAAACACAUAAGACAAAAAUCAUUAUUGUUUAAUUCGGGAGGAUUAUCAAUAAUUGAAUCGUUUAUUUCAGAAAGGGGUCAAGUCACAAGUAUCCACUUUUGAGAAAAUAAAGUUUACACACUGUUUACAUUCAACAAACAAUCACAUUAUAUAAAAUAAAAAUUCUACCUAGCAACCUGGAGUAUUUGUUAAAAAAUGUUGUAUUUUUUAAAAAUGUAUCUUGUUAAAUUGUU